Molecule: small nucleolar RNA, 85 nt
Organism: Talpa occidentalis (Iberian mole)
Lineage: Eukaryota; Metazoa; Chordata; Mammalia; Eulipotyphla; Talpidae
Product: small nucleolar RNA SNORD105
Exons: 1
Source: RefSeq, a predicted model, not a curated record
UCCCCAACUCAUGAUGAAUCUGUGUGCCUCUGAACUGCUGUGAUACUGGCUUCAAAGUAAACGCUCUGAAGAGAUGGGGCAGGGG